This 403-nucleotide ribosomal RNA is filed under the name bacterium. RNAcentral's name for it is "partial 16S ribosomal RNA". It matches the Rfam family "Bacterial small subunit ribosomal RNA", at positions 355 to 776 of the family's 1533-position model. The record is from RNAcentral.
UGGGGAAUAUUGCACAAUGGGCGAAAGCCUGAUGCAGCAACGCCGCGUGAGCGAUGAAGGCCUUCGGGUCGUAAAGCUCUGUCCUCAAGGAAGAUAAUGACGGUACUUGAGGAGGAAGCCCCGGCUAACUACGUGCCAGCAGCCGCGGUAAUACGUAGGGGGCUAGCGUUAUCCGGAAUUACUGGGCGUAAAGGGUGCGUAGGUGGUUUCUUAAGUCAGAGGUGAAAGGCUACGGCUCAACCGUAGUAAGCCUUUGAAACUGGGAAACUUGAGUGCAGGAGAGGAGAGUGGAAUUCCUAGUGUAGCGGUGAAAUGCGUAGAUAUUAGGGGGAACACCAGUUGCGAAGGCGGCUCUCUGGACUGUAACUGACACUGAGGCACGAAAGCGUGGGGAGCAAACAGG